Molecule: ribosomal RNA, 253 nt
Filed under: uncultured bacterium
Lineage: Bacteria
Description: partial 16S ribosomal RNA
Rfam family: Bacterial small subunit ribosomal RNA
Source: RNAcentral
UACGGAGGGAGCUAGCGUUGUUCGGAAAUACUGGGCGUAAAGCGCACGUAGGCGGCGCAGCAAGUCAGGGGUGAAAUCCCGGGGCUCAACCCCGGAACUGCCCUUGAAACUGCAGUGCUAGAAUUCUGGAGAGGCGAGUGGAAUUCCGAGUGUAGAGGUGAAAUUCGUAGAUAUUCGGAAGAACACCAGUGGCGAAGGCGACUCGCUGGACAGACAUUGACGCUGAGGUGCGAAAGCGUGGGGAGCAAACGGG